Long non-coding RNA from Lynx canadensis (Canada lynx), 721 nucleotides. RefSeq lists it as uncharacterized. The record is from RefSeq and is a predicted model, not a curated record. Lineage: Eukaryota; Metazoa; Chordata; Mammalia; Carnivora; Felidae. The transcript has 4 exons.
GGCCGAAUCGCCCUCCGCAGCGAAGGGAUCUGGCAGCGCAGCGAGAGUGCUCGUUCCUGAGGUUUUUGCUUAACAGUUUGGAGCCGAGUUUGGGAUAUGAAGCGACCUAGACACCUCCUGCGGAUUUCUGGACCUGCAGAAGCGAGCACCGCAGCCCGGGGUUGCUUCUCUUCCGGCGGCUCCUAUAAUCCCGGGCUGGGAGUGGGGGAUGACAGGUGCUUAUGAAGAUUACAACUUGAUUGUGUUACACCUUGAAAUUCUUCGAUACAGUUGUGCUUAAAUUUGAUGGUGGGUGUCUGGUGGUUUUCUUAAGCCACUCAUUUUCUGAUUAAUCCUUACAAGUGGAUGAUUUCUGCAACUGGUAUCUUCAAUGUAAUCUUAUCCUUAGAAGUUUCCAGUGAAGACAUGUGGAUUUGGAGAGAUUGGGGAACUUGAUCAAACUGACGUACCAGCAAGUAGCAGUUGUGAGGUUCAAGUCAUACUGCUCAACUCCAGAGCCCAGUUGACCACGACAUCAUAGACUUCGCAAAUAGUAGGUGCUCUGUCUCUGUGGAUUUGCCUCUUCUGGACAUUUCACACAAACGGAAUCAUACAAUAGGAGGUCUUUUGUGACUGGCUUGACUUGGUGUAACUUCCCAGUAAUGAGUUAUGACAUAUGUGAAAUGUUGUCUGUGAGAGAAGCUCAUUUAGAGACUGUGCCAGAAGUUCUUAAGGGGGCUCG